RNAcentral lists this ribosomal RNA (266 nucleotides) under uncultured Staphylococcus sp. RNAcentral describes it as "partial 16S ribosomal RNA". It matches the Rfam family "Bacterial small subunit ribosomal RNA", at positions 96 to 354 of the family's 1533-position model. Lineage: Bacteria; Bacillati; Bacillota; Bacilli; Caryophanales; Staphylococcaceae. The record is from RNAcentral.
CGGCGGACGGGUGAGUAACACGUGGGUAACCUACCUAUAAGACUGGGACAACUUCGGGAAACCGGAGCUAAUACCGGAUAAGAUAUCGAACCGCAUGGUUCGAUAGUGAAAGAUGGUUUUGCUAUCACUUAUAGAUGGACCCGCGCCGUAUUAGCUAGUUGGUGAGGUAACGGCUCACCAAGGCAACGAUACGUAGCCGACCUGAGAGGGUGAUCGGCCACACUGGAACUGAGACACGGUCCAGACUCCUACGGGAGGCAGCAGAA